UCUCGGCUUAUCACCGGCAGUCCCCCUAGAGUGCCCAACUGAAUGAUGGCAACUAAUGAUAAGGGUUGCGCUCGUUGCGGGACUUAACCCAACACCUCACGGCACGAGCUGACGACAGCCAUGCAGCACCUGUGCGGAGACCCUUUCGGGAGAUCCCAUUUCUGGGACUGUCCUCCGCAUGUCAAACCUGGGUAAGGUUCUUCGCGUUGCAUCGAAUUAAACCACAUGCUCCACUGCUUGUGCGGGUCCCCGUCAAUUCUUUUGAGUUUCAGCCUUGCGACUGUACUCCCCAGGCGGUAUACUUAACGCGUUAGCUUCGGCACAACCAGGGUUGAGUCCGGUUACACCAAGUAUACAUAGUUUACGGCAAGGACUAC
Molecule: unclassified non-coding RNA, 377 nt
Filed under: uncultured Parachlamydiaceae bacterium
Lineage: Bacteria; Pseudomonadati; Chlamydiota; Chlamydiia; Parachlamydiales; Parachlamydiaceae
Description: contains 16S-23S intergenic spacer region
Source: RNAcentral